This 497-nucleotide ribosomal RNA is filed under the name uncultured bacterium. RNAcentral describes it as "partial 16S ribosomal RNA". It matches the Rfam family "Bacterial small subunit ribosomal RNA", at positions 28 to 507 of the family's 1533-position model. The record is from RNAcentral.
GAUGAACGCUGGCGGCGUGCCUAAUACAUGCAAGUAGAACGCUGAAGGAAGGAGCUUGCUCUUUCCGGAUGAGUUGCGAACGGGUGAGUAACGCGUAGGUAACCUGCCUGGUAGCGGGGGAUAACUAUUGGAAACGAUAGCUAAUACCGCAUAACAGUAGAUGUUGCUUGAUAUCUACUUAAAAGGUGCAAUUGCACCACUACCAGAUGGACCUGCGUUGUAUUAGCUAGUUGGUGAGGUAACGGCUCACCAAGGCGACGAUACAUAGCCGACCUGAGAGGGUGAUCGGCCACACUGGGACUGAGACACGGCCCAGACUCCUACGGGAGGCAGCAGUAGGGAAUCUUCGGCAAUGGACGGAAGUCUGGCCGAGCAACGCCGCGUGAGUGAAGAAGGUUUUCGGAUCGUAAAGCUCUGUUGUAAGAGAAGAACGAGUGUGAGAGUGGAAAGUUCACACUGUGACGGUAUCUUACCAGAAAGGGACGGCUAACUACGUG